Molecule: non-coding RNA, 525 nt
Organism: Arachis ipaensis
Lineage: Eukaryota; Viridiplantae; Streptophyta; Magnoliopsida; Fabales; Fabaceae
Source: RefSeq, a predicted model, not a curated record
CCUAACCCUAAAUUAAAACACACAGAUCACACCACACACUCUCCACUCUCCAGAGGGCUGCACUCACCCACGCUCACGCCCGUAACCUCAAAACUCUCCACUCUUCGCCGGCGACGGACAACUUCACAGUCGCAACGCCGUUCAGCAUCAUAGUUCGCAACCACACACUUCCCCUGCUCCUCGGUUUUGCCGUCGCCGUCGUGCUCCGUUCGUCUCCAUCCAACCUCUAUCCGUCGUCCCUCCAUUUCCAGCUUCGUGUCUCACCGUCGUGUCUGGUGUUCGGAUUUUUCGUCCUCCCUUAGUCUCGAGUCUCAGGAAUUUGGCCAUUUGAAGUGAACCUUUGCGUUACCACAUCCAUUGUUGAUGUCACCACAUCCAUUGUUGAUGAAGAUGACGAUUGUGAAUCUGUUGGAGAGAAUGAGAUGCCAAAAGAUGAUGAUUGUUCGGAUGAGAGCCAAGAUGCAUGCAUAUGCAUGGGAGAGAUAAACUGAUACUAUUAUUAAUUUUUUGAAUUAAUUUUUCGUU